RNAcentral lists this ribosomal RNA (406 nucleotides) under uncultured bacterium. Its description in RNAcentral is "partial 16S ribosomal RNA". It matches the Rfam family "Bacterial small subunit ribosomal RNA", at positions 30 to 526 of the family's 1533-position model. The record is from RNAcentral.
AUUGAACGCUGGCGGCAGGCCUAACACAUGCAAGUCGAACGAGUGGCGGACGGGUGUGUCAUGUCUGUGAAACUGCUUGAUGGAGGGGGUUAACUACUGGAAACGGAAGCUAAUACCGCAUACCUUCGGAUGUGACCAGAGGGGAUUAGCCAGUAGGUGGGGUAAAGGCUAACCUAGGCGACGAUCCCUAGCCGGUCUGAGAGGAUGACCAGCCACACUGGAACUGAGACACGGUCCAGACUCCUACGGGAGGCAGCAGUGGGGAAUAUUGCACAAUGGGCGCAAGCCUGAUGCAGCCAUGCCGCGUGUAUGAAGAAGGCCUUCGGGUUGUAAAGUACUUUCAGCGGGGAGGCGUUACCCACAGAAGAAGCACCGGCUAACUCCGUGCCAGCAGCCGCGGUAAUUC